This 446-nucleotide ribosomal RNA is filed under the name uncultured bacterium. RNAcentral's name for it is "partial 16S ribosomal RNA". It matches the Rfam family "Bacterial small subunit ribosomal RNA", at positions 338 to 795 of the family's 1533-position model. The record is from RNAcentral.
CCUACGGGGGGCAGCAGUCGAGAAUAAUUCACAAUGGGGGAAACUCUGAUGGUGUGACGCCGCGUGGGGGAAUGAAGCUCUUCGGAUUGUAAACCCCUUUCAUGGGGGAGCAAAGUACAAAGAUCGUACCACACGAGCCAGAGACGGCUAACUCUGUGCCGGCAGCCGCGGUAAUACAGAGGGCUCAAGCGUUGUUCGGACUGAGUGGGCGUAAAGCGUGCGCAGGCUGUUUAGUAAGUCGUGUGUGAAAGGCGCGGGCUCAACCCGCGGACGGCAGAUGAUACUGUGAGACUAGAGUGUAGGAGGGGGAACCGGAAUGCUCGGUGUAGCAGUGAAAUGCGUAGAUAUCAGGAGGAACACUCGUGGCGAAGGCGGGUUACCGGACAUUAACUGACGCUGAGGCACGAAGGCGAGGGGAGCGAAAGGGAUUAGAUACCCGAGUAGUC